UCAGGCUUUUAACUUGUUUGAGGAAAUAUAUACAUUUCAUUAGUCCCAAAUUAAAUUAUCUACCUAGUGCUUCACUAUAGAGCUAAUGAAAUUCAAGGAGCCCAACACUGGCCCAUACAGACUCGAAGAGGAUUUGACAAUCGAUUAUAGGCACAUAUUUUGAAAAACAGUGUAGCCCAAUGAAUAUUACUUUUGUAUUUAAAGUAGCAAGAAUUUGCAAAGGCCAUCAAAUGGAAAAGGUACGGAUUAAACAUUUCUGAUAUUCAUUUCUUCUUGAAUACGGCUUUGGGGAAGGAUUUGCUCAGUUACAACUGUGUUUCAUCUUAGCAUGUUUCUGGCCUGAGUAAGCUUUUAAUCCUGGCCGACCACAAAAUAGAAAAAUUCCCUUUGCAGAAAACGCGAAUAUUAGACUCUUAGGGAAGGGGGAGGAGGAGGAAGGUUCAGGCUGGAAGUUUCUUCAUAAUGUUCCUCUCAAACGGACUGUGCAGAAACUUAAGAAGAUUGAGUGCAGACCCGAGGUGCAGCCUUAUUUUCCUUCUCAAAGAAUGUGACGGCUACUUUUUGCUGGGCAGUUUCACUGAAAAGGUUUAUCUGUGCUCAGGCUGUUGUGAAGCUGUGCCUUUCCUGACCUGCUGCUCUGAGCGCUGGGCGAGGUCAACACUGGUGUACUCUGAACUAACGCAUUAUACUGGAGAACUGGAUCCAGAGGAUUCAGAAGAACAUAAUGAAAAGGAAAACUACAGCGAACCUUUCCAUGAUAUGCUUAGCUUUGUGUGCAAUGCAGUGUGAGCAGGAAGACAUCGCUCCACCGUAAACAGGUUUUUUAGCCUCCUCUGCUGCUUCGGGUGAGGAAAGGCAGGCAGCUGGUAGGACACUGAGGCAGUGCCCCCGAUUCCCUUCCCUGGUCCCCUCCGUGAGAGCAGAAUGAGCCACCUCCACCCAACUGUGCGGUGACUACCGUGCAUUAAGAUGCACAAAUAGCAAUCUAGCCCUUGAGUCUUUCUUUUCAUAUUUUUCCAGACAGCUUCAGUCCAGAUAAGGUUCUGACUCCUCCUGAGAUAAUUCCUAACAUUUCUAAAUGGGUUUCAAAUUCCCUCCCAAUUCCACUGUCAGUAAUGAGCACCACAUUUCACAAAUGGGCCGGUGGGUUAUACAGAUGCACAUCUUAUAACUGUACUUGGUUUUGCUUGAAAUCGUUUCAGGAACUAUGGAAAAGGAGUGGUUUAUUUAGAAAUCAGGGGUAAAUACAACCUUACAAUUAUCAUGUGAAUAUGGGGGAUUAAGAGAAAGGAAAAGCAACACCACUAGCAACAUUCUUGUCAUCUCACCCUCCCUCCCUCCCUUGAGAUGUUAUGCAUUUUCCUCCAUUCGUGUGAUCUGGGGCUCCAUUUAAAGUCGCGUUUAGAGUCUUUUAAAUAUUUCCUGUGGUGACAGAAACUUGUUCUUUGAGGAGAGACUUUAAUUUAGGGAACCCAAAGAUAGAAGUAGCCCAAUGAAUAAGGUGGAUGAUCAUGGCAGGUGAUACCAACUUUGUUUAAAAAAUAAAGGGAAAUGGGAAAGAUUUUCUCCAUAUGGUCUUUUACACCAUAGCAUCACUGGGAUAAUGCUGUAACCUUACAGAAUGCCUCUCUGAAGAGGCUGACUCUUGACUGGUAGGUUCUUUUCUCUUCUCAUGCAGGUUCUGUGUAUUGUGGUUUUAUUUACGCUCUGGUUUGCACAGAAUUAUGUCCCUAAUUACUGUCACUGGAGCUGGGUCUUACGAGCUUCUGGGAAUUCUAGUCCACUUCAAACAAGUAUUUAAUAUAUCAAAUUGAGAUA
This is a long non-coding RNA of Camelus dromedarius (Arabian camel), 1818 nucleotides long. RefSeq lists it as uncharacterized. The transcript has 4 exons. The record is from RefSeq and is a predicted model, not a curated record. Lineage: Eukaryota; Metazoa; Chordata; Mammalia; Artiodactyla; Camelidae.